Molecule: long non-coding RNA, 208 nt
Filed under: Salvia miltiorrhiza (redroot sage)
Lineage: Eukaryota; Viridiplantae; Streptophyta; Magnoliopsida; Lamiales; Lamiaceae
Description: long non-coding RNA (SMIL_LNC010819)
Source: RNAcentral
GUUUGUUUGUUUUUUUUUUUUUUUUUUUUUUGGAAAUAUAUAGAUAGCGUAACCCUUACGAAACCCGGAAACUGAUACCAGAUGAUAUAACCUUGACCGGAAGAUGUUAAGAUCUUACCGAGAAUUAUGGAGUUUCACCGGAAAACACAAUAAUAACGUGAAAGGUAUAUGGGAUUCUGAUGCAGCCCAAGGUUCGUUGGUGCAAGAC